AUGGAGUCGUCGUCGGCGGACUCGUCGCCCACGAGAUCAUGGGGCCUCAAGGAGCAGCGCACCGUCUACCUCCGCUGGUUCUACCUCGCCGACGACGACGCGGACGGUCGCCUGACUGGGAAGGACGCCCUCAAGUUCUUCGCCAUGUCCAAGCUCUCCAGGGAAGACCUCAAGCAGGUCUGGGCGAUUGCUGAUUCGAAACGUCAGGGUUAUCUUGGAUUCGCGGAGUUUAUGACCGCAAUGCAGCUGGUUUCUCUGGCACAGGCAGGGCAAGACAUAAGCCAAGACACCCUUGCACAUGCAGAUUUGGCGAGCUUGCAGCCUCCGACAAUGGAAGGUCUGGAGAAGAAACUAAAAAAGAGUGCGGCACACAAGAGCAGCUCCGACCUCACUGCGUACCAUCCAGUCCAAACGUCUCUGUCAGCUAACUGGUUUAACUCGAAGUCGGGAAAGAAGAUAGCGAUGAAAUCAGUCACCUCGAUAAUCGAUGGACUAAAGAAAGCAUACAUUGAGAAGUUGAGGCCUCUAGAAAAAACUUACCAAUAUAAUGACUUUGUUUCACCUUUGCUGACUAGCAGCGAUUUUGAUGCGAAGCCAAUGAUCAUGCUAUUGGGUCAAUACUCAACUGGAAAAACCACAUUCAUAAAGCAUUUACUAAAGACAGGUUAUCCAGGUUCUCAUAUUGGACCGGAGCCUACGACCGAUAGAUUUGUUGUUGUUACUACUGGGCCAGAUGAAAGAUGCAUCCCUGGAAACACAAUUGCGGUGCAAGCUGACAUGCCAUACAGCGGCUUGUCGGCGUUCGGAACGGCGUUUUUAUCCAAGUUUGAGUGCUCUCAGAUGCCUCAUCCAUUACUGGAUCACAUUUCCUUCGUGGACACUCCCGGAGUGUUAUCAGGGGAGAAGCAGCGAACGCAACGCAGCUACGAUUUCACCGGAGUCACAUCGUGGUUUGCGGCCAAGUCUGACCUCAUCCUUCUCCUGUUCGAUCCCCAUAAGCUCGACAUCAGCGACGAGUUCAAGCGUGUGAUCGGGUCGCUGCGCGGGCACGAUGACAAGAUACGCAUAGUUCUCAACAAAGCUGACCAAGUUGACGCACAACAGCUGAUGAGGGUCUACGGAGCACUCCUGUGGUCGCUGGGGAAGGUCCUCAACACGCCGGAGGUCAUGCGUGUCUACAUUGGAUCGUUCAACGACAAGCCGAUCCGGGAGACGGCGGCGGGGCCGCUGGGAUCGGAGCUGUUCGUGAGGGAGCAGGAGGACCUCCUCUCGGACCUCAACGACAUCCCGAAGAAGGCGUGCGACCGGCGGAUCAACGAGUUCGUGAAGCGGGCGCGGUCGGCCAAGGUGCACGCGCACAUCGUGGGGCACCUCAAGAACCAGAUGCCGGCGCUGAUGGGGAAGGCCAAGGCGCAGCAGAAGCUGCUGGAGACGCUGGACGAGCAGUUCGCCAAGGUGCAGAAGGAGAUGCACCUGCCGCCGGGCGACUUCCCCAGCGUCGACGAGUACCGGGACACGCUCAGCGCCUACAACUUCGACCGCUUCGAGCGGCUCCAUACCAAGAUGGUCAAGGACGUCGACGACAUGCUCGCCUACCACAUCCCGGACCUCCUCAAGCAGUUCAGGAACCCCUACGAGUGA
RNAcentral lists this ribosomal RNA (1641 nucleotides) under Triticum aestivum (bread wheat). RNAcentral's name for it is "partial small subunit ribosomal RNA". The record is from RNAcentral. Lineage: Eukaryota; Viridiplantae; Streptophyta; Magnoliopsida; Poales; Poaceae.